AAAGUGUUAAAAAUUUAAUAGAAAAGGCAAAAACUUUAAUACAAAGUAAAUAAGUCUACACACACCCUUUACAGAAACAUAUUUGUGUAGUUAAUUCAUUAUACUCUGAAACACAAACUAAUUACUAUUGCAUAUGCUACAUGUACUUCAGAACUUAGUGAUUGAUGAAAAAGUCCUUAUUUUUAUGUGUUUCUUAAUUUCUGAUGAAAAAAAAUAAUUUCUAUAUAUAAUCUUAUCUCAUUUUGUUUGAAGAUGAUCGACUGCAGAAGAAAAGAAGAUAUUUCUAGGAUUUUACUUUUCAAAUUAAUUAUGGUAUAAUCUAUGUCACAAAAUAAAGGGAUGCCACAGUCUGCUGUUGGAAUUCAUCUUAACAAAAACUUUCACAAUGUUGAAUGAUCUUUUUUUCAUUAAAUCUAUGUCUGCAAAUUUAUAUCUUCUUAAUCUUUUUAAAUUAACAACAUUUGUAUGUUUAAGGAAUGUACUUAGGUGAAAUUUAAAAAAUCAAGAAAUUAAAAUUGAUACUACAUUUUGAAGGAGCACCAGUUAAGGAACAAAACAAGCUAAAAAUAUUGAUAGGUCAUGGACCUCGUUUUCGAGAUAUUUGAGUUUAAAAACAAGAGGCUCUCAAGAGCCUGAAUCGCUCACCUGGUAAACAAUGCCUUCGGCCAUGUUUUUUGACGAAAUA
RNAcentral lists this long non-coding RNA (685 nucleotides) under Mytilus galloprovincialis (Mediterranean mussel). Lineage: Eukaryota; Metazoa; Mollusca; Bivalvia; Mytilida; Mytilidae. The record is from RNAcentral.